RNAcentral lists this unclassified non-coding RNA (210 nucleotides) under uncultured Glomus. RNAcentral's name for it is "sequence contains 18S rRNA gene". It matches the Rfam family "Eukaryotic small subunit ribosomal RNA", at positions 569 to 781 of the family's 1831-position model. The record is from RNAcentral. Lineage: Eukaryota; Fungi; Glomeromycota; Glomeromycetes; Glomerales; Glomeraceae.
AGCAGCCGCGGUAAUUCCAGCUCCAAUAGCGUAUAUUAAAGUUGUUGCAGUUAAAAAGCUCGUAGUUGAACUUCGGGGUUUACUCAUUGGUCAGGCUUAAUUGUCUGUACUGGUGAGAUAAAUCUCUACCUUCUGAGGAACUUUCAUGCCAUUUAUUUGGUGUGAUUGGAAAUCAGGACUGUUACUUUGAAAAAUUAGAGUGUUUAAAGC